RNAcentral lists this ribosomal RNA (253 nucleotides) under uncultured bacterium. RNAcentral's name for it is "partial 16S ribosomal RNA". It matches the Rfam family "Bacterial small subunit ribosomal RNA", at positions 524 to 776 of the family's 1533-position model. The record is from RNAcentral.
UACGUAGGGGGCAAGCGUUGUCCGGAAUCAUUGGGCGUAAAGCGCGCGUAGGCGGCCCGGUAAGUCCGCUGUAAAAGUCCAGGGCUCAACCCUGGAAAGCCGGUGGAUACUGUCGGGCUAGAGUCCGGAAGAGGCGAGUGGAAUUCCUGGUGUAGCGGUGGAAUGCGCAGAUAUCAGGAGGAACACCUAUUGCGAAGGCAGCUCGCUGGGACGUAACUGACGCUGAGACGCGAAAGCGUGGGGAGCAAACAGG